This 477-nucleotide ribosomal RNA is filed under the name uncultured bacterium. Its description in RNAcentral is "bacterial SSU rRNA". It matches the Rfam family "Bacterial small subunit ribosomal RNA", at positions 24 to 518 of the family's 1533-position model. The record is from RNAcentral.
UCAGGAUGAACGCUGGCGGCGUAGCUUAAUACAUGCAAGUCGAACGGAGAAUGUAGCAAUACGUCUUAGUGGCGAACGGGUGAGUAACGCGUUGGUGACCUGCCCCGAAGAGAGGGAUAACAGUCCGAAAGGAUUGCUAAUACCCCAUGUGAUCAUUGAGGUUAGAGACUCGAUGAUUAAACGGAGAAUUUCGGCUUCGGGAGGGCCUGCGUACCAUCAGCUAGUUGGUGAGGUAAUGGCUCACCAAGGCUAUGACGGUUAGGGGACCUGAGAGGGUGGCCCCCCACAAUGGAACUGAAACACGGUCCAUACACCUACGGGUGGCAGCAGUAGGGAAUAUUGGUAAUGGGCGAAAGCCCUGAACCAGCAACGCCGCGUGUGCGAUGAAGGCCUUCGGGUCGUAAAGCACUUUUUGGAGGGACGAGGAAGGACGGUACCUCCAGAAUAAGCCUCGGCUAACUACGUGCCAGCCGCGGC